CCCUUUUAAGGCCCCCUACCUUCUUGGUUCAUUGUUAGUUGAAUCAUGAGUUUCUGACUUCUGAGAGAAAGAGUCGCCAUUUUUAGACCUUUGAAUUUUUUUGAGGUUUUGAAUUUUGAUGUUGGCUUAAUUAGCUGGAUUGUCACUUGUGAGGCAUUUCUUAGAAUGUGAUGGGUUUAAGUUGGUUCGGGUUGGCGGUUCGUGAGCUUGCUAUUAUUCUUGACGAAUUUUGAUGCUGAAAGACUUGGAAACCAUGCUGUCGACCACGUCGAGAAGCUGAGUAACAUUCUGCUUUUACAAUGGCACCGUUUUAAUAAAAGGAACUCAAGCCAUCACAAUCUAGGGCUUCCAUCAAAUCAUGCAGGCUGCAUGGAAGUCACAUUUACCGUUGCCGUGAACAUCAUGAAGACAUACACUAUUUGAAGGUUCAUGUUUACGUAGCAGUGGUGUUGCUGUCCAAUGUGGCGUGUUGUUGCAGCCUAUGGUGGUAAAAGAUAUCUGCAUCAUGUUGCUGUUCCUUGUGCAUCCAAGGUGCUGGUUUUGUGCUACAGAAGUGACAUUCAAUAUUGUGUUUAAUUGCUAUUUGUGUCUAUGCGGUUUACCUUUAUAUAUUGAGAAGGAACAAAAAAAUAGUAAUACGGGGAGGUUUAUGUAAAAAAAAUAAUAAACAUGUUCAGGAUGGGGGAAUGAGGAGGAAGUUGGGGUGGGGUAUUUGGUUAUGAUUUACUAAAAGAACUGAGGUAUAUUUUUAAUGAAUAUGCAGUACUUGGUGAUAAAAUCUGUUGUUAACCUAUACCUUCCUGUCAACCUAUACCUUUCCCACUUCCACAUCCAUUCCUCAAACCCCAUAAGCACCAACAUCAAGUCCCACAUCCAUUCCUAAACCCCACAAAGCCACAAUCUCCCAACAUCAAGUUCACACAAUUAUUGUAUAUCUAUAAUCAUUUUUAUAUUAAAAUAAAUAAAAUGUAAUUGUAUAAAAAUUGUGUAAACUUUAUUUAUUCUGGAAC
This is a long non-coding RNA of Daphnia pulex (common water flea), 1010 nucleotides long. RefSeq lists it as uncharacterized. The record is from RefSeq and is a predicted model, not a curated record. The transcript is spliced from 4 exons. NCBI's taxonomy places the organism in Eukaryota, Metazoa, Arthropoda, Branchiopoda, Diplostraca, Daphniidae.